CUACGGGGCGCUGCAGGCGAGAAAACUUUGCAAUGUGCGAAAGCACGACAAGGUUAAUCCGAGUGGUUUGUGCUAAACGAACCUUUUGACAGUCCUAGAAACACUGUUGAAUAAGGGGUGGGCAAGUUCUGGUGUCAGCCGCCGCGGUAAAACCAGCACCUCAAGUGGUCAGGAUGAUUAUUGGGCCUAAAGCAUCCGUAGCCGGCUCUGUAAGUUUUCGGUUAAAUCUAUACGCUCAACGUACAGGCUGCCGGGAAUACUGCAGAGCUAGGGAGUGGGAGAGGUAGACGGUACUCGGUAGGAAGGGGUAAAAUCCUUUGAUCUAUUGAUGACCAUCUGUGGCGAAGGCGGUCUACCAGAACACGUCCGACGGUGAGGGAUGAAAGCUGGGGGAGCAAACCGGAUUAGAUACCCGGGUAGUC
Molecule: ribosomal RNA, 422 nt
Filed under: uncultured archaeon
Lineage: Archaea
Description: partial 16S ribosomal RNA
Rfam family: Archaeal small subunit ribosomal RNA
Source: RNAcentral